GUCAUGCUUAGGGAUGUGACUCCAAACAGGGCCAAUCAUUCCACACUCACAUGCAUGCUCAGCCAGCCACACACACACAUACACUAACAAAGUCUGCUAACUCAAUACAUACAUGCCAUAUGUAUGUUGCUUAGAAGGAGCAAGGAGGGAUGGUAAAGGGGUCCCCUCAGUGAUUCUUGAGCAGGGGCCCUAUGAUUCCUAAU
Molecule: non-coding RNA, 203 nt
Organism: Pelobates cultripes (western spadefoot toad)
Lineage: Eukaryota; Metazoa; Chordata; Amphibia; Anura; Pelobatidae
Source: the annotation of a GenBank genome assembly